GGCUCGGUGGUGGAUGGUUCACGUCUGUAACAAAUGGUAGUUCUGUAGAACUCUUAUCAUGCAGGAGGCGCCCGUUCGACUCGGGCCCGAGCCA
Mycena rosella is the source of this 94-nucleotide non-coding RNA. Lineage: Eukaryota; Fungi; Basidiomycota; Agaricomycetes; Agaricales; Mycenaceae. The record is from the annotation of a GenBank genome assembly.